CCACGCCUGGGCACGUCCCAUCGCUCCGGCGUUUCCAGCACACAGCGGUGGAGGAAGAGCUGUGGUACGAACCACAAGAAUAAAGCACGCAGCCAGCAGCAAGUUUGACCAACACCAAAUGAAUGGGUCCAGCUGCAAGGUGCCAAAGGGCAGGAACGACCCAACGAGCGUGAAAGAUGAAGUUUGAAGAAGUUGUAUGACAAAGGAGAAGAGGGAGGUUUUUCAGUCAUCGGGGAAGAUGAUGAAGCUGGAAAGAGAACGCAGUGAGGAGUCAGCAUAUGUGAGAUGCCAUCUGCUUGGAAUCCUUUGCUUGACAUUGACAUGGGACACUUCAUUGCCAGGGGACAAAGUUACUUUGCCUGUUCUGCCAGUUUUUCUUCUGAACUAGCCCUGUAAACACUAAUAAUCUCGACACAGCCUGGAGCAACAAGAGGAGUGCAAUCACAAAAGGUCAUAUACUACAAUCUGAGCAUGAAGUUUUAUAGUUCUGCAAUGAAGCCCCAGCUUUUUCUGAGUGACAAGCUUUGUAAUAAAUUUAUCUGGGGAUUUAACA
Molecule: long non-coding RNA, 553 nt
Filed under: Chrysolophus pictus (golden pheasant)
Lineage: Eukaryota; Metazoa; Chordata; Aves; Galliformes; Phasianidae
Description: lncRNA (ENSCPIG00010004497.1)
Source: RNAcentral